RNAcentral lists this long non-coding RNA (421 nucleotides) under Phoenix dactylifera (date palm). RNAcentral's name for it is "long non-coding RNA (PDAC_LNC016806)". Lineage: Eukaryota; Viridiplantae; Streptophyta; Magnoliopsida; Arecales; Arecaceae. The record is from RNAcentral.
CAAUUUAACCUGACGGAAGUAGAGGAAAAAUCACCGGUCGGAUUAAGCUGCCAAAUGAUGCUGUCACAAUUGGAAUUUGGAAGAAAGCUGAAAAGAUGGCAUGCAACUGAACGGAUUCUUUGCAUGCUACUGGAGGAAGUAUAAAACCACAUUUGAGAUUCUAUAUCUGGCACCUGAGAUUAAAAAAUUUAUCAGCAAUGCCAGAUUUAAGAUGGCGAGCCCGAUAAAGGUGGGGGGAAUAAUUCGUCUGGAAACGGGCCGGGAUGGUCCGGGCUGUAGGCUAGGCUUGGUCCCGCAAACUUUUGAAAAUUUCUGGUCUGAGCCUCGGCUUGGUCCCAACUUGAAUCCGAUCAGGCCCAGCCUGAAAUAUCUGUAUGGGCUCAAAAUUGAGCUGUGUUUUUUUGAUAAAAUAAUAUAGCUU